AGGGGUAUUUUGGUCCACAAUUC
RNAcentral lists this small nuclear RNA (23 nucleotides) under Arabidopsis thaliana (thale cress). RNAcentral describes it as "snRNA_15548". The record is from RNAcentral. Lineage: Eukaryota; Viridiplantae; Streptophyta; Magnoliopsida; Brassicales; Brassicaceae.